This 587-nucleotide ribosomal RNA is filed under the name Debaryomyces sp. RNAcentral's name for it is "partial large subunit ribosomal RNA". It matches the Rfam family "Eukaryotic large subunit ribosomal RNA", at positions 52 to 654 of the family's 3401-position model. Lineage: Eukaryota; Fungi; Ascomycota; Pichiomycetes; Serinales; Debaryomycetaceae. The record is from RNAcentral.
GGAGGAAAAGAAACCAACAGGGAUUGCCUUAGUAACGGCGAGUGAAGCGGCAAAAGCUCAAAUUUGAAAUCUGGCACCUUCGGUGUCCGAGUUGUAAUUUGAAGAAGGUAACUUUGGAGUUGGCUCUUGUCUAUGUUCCUUGGAACAGGACGUCACAGAGGGUGAGAAUCCCGUGCGAUGAGAUGCCCAAUUCUAUGUAAAGUGCUUUCGAAGAGUCGAGUUGUUUGGGAAUGCAGCUCUAAGUGGGUGGUAAAUUCCAUCUAAAGCUAAAUAUUGGCGAGAGACCGAUAGCGAACAAGUACAGUGAUGGAAAGAUGAAAAGAACUUUGAAAAGAGAGUGAAAAAGUACGUGAAAUUGUUGAAAGGGAAGGGCUUGAGAUCAGACUUGGUAUUUUGCGAUCCUUUCCUUCUUGGUUGGGUUCCUCGCAGCUUACUGGGCCAGCAUCGGUUUGGAUGGUAGGAUAAUGACUAAGGAAUGUGGCUCUACUUCGGUGGAGUGUUAUAGCCUUGGUUGAUACUGCCUGUCUAGACCGAGGACUGCGUCUUUUGACUAGGAUGUUGGCAUAAUGAUCUUAAGCCACCCGUCU